AUUGAACGCUGGCGGCAGGCCUAACACAUGCAAGUCGAGCGGUAGCACAGAGAGCUUGCUCUCGGGUGACGAGCGGCGGACGGGUGAGUAAUGUCUGGGAAACUGCCUGAUGGAGGGGGAUAACUACUGGAAACGGUAGCUAAUACCGCAUAAUGUCGCAAGACCAAAGUGGGGGACCUUCGGGCCUCAUGCCAUCAGAUGUGCCCAGAUGGGAUUAGCUAGUAGGUGGGGUAACGGCUCACCUAGGCGACGAUCCCUAGCUGGUCUGAGAGGAUGACCAGCCACACUGGAACUGAGACACGGUCCAGACUCCUACGGGAGGCAGCAGUGGGGAAUAUUGCACAAUGGGCGCAAGCCUGAUGCAGCCAUGCCGCGUGUGUGAAGAAGGCCUUCGGGUUGUAAAGCACUUUCAGCGGGGAGGAAGGCGUUAAGGUUAAUAACCUUGGCGAUUGACGUUACCCGCAGAAGAAGCACCGGCUAAUUCCGUGCCAGCAGCCGCGGUAAUACGGAGGGUGCAAGCGUUAAUCGGAAUUACUGGGCGUAAAGCGCACGCAGGCGGUCUGUCAAGUCGGAUGUGAAAUCCCCGGGCUCAACCUGGGAACUGCAUUCGAAACUGGCAGGCUAGAGUCUUGUAGAGGGGGGUAGAAUUCCAGGUGUAGCGGUGAAAUGCGUAGAGAUCUGGAGGAAUACCGGUGGCGAAGGCGGCCCCCUGGACAAAGACUGACGCUCAGGUGCGAAAGCGUGGGGAGCAAACAGGAUUAGAUACCCUGGUAGUCCACGCCGUAAACGAUGUCGAUUUGGAGGUUGUGCCCUUGAGGCGUGGCUUCCGGAGCUAACGCGUUAAAUCGACCGCCUGGGGAGUACGGCCGCAAGGUUAAAACUCAAAUGAAUUGACGGGGGCCCGCACAAGCGGUGGAGCAUGUGGUUUAAUUCGAUGCAACGCGAAGAACCUUACCUGGUCUUGACAUCCACAGAACUUAGCAGAGAUGCUUUGGUGCCUUCGGGAACUGUGAGACAGGUGCUGCAUGGCUGUCGUCAGCUCGUGUUGUGAAAUGUUGGGUUAAGUCCCGCAACGAGCGCAACCCUUAUCCUUUGUUGCCAGCGGUUAGGCCGGGAACUCAAAGGAGACUGCCAGUGAUAAACUGGAGGAAGGUGGGGAUGACGUCAAGUCAUCAUGGCCCUUACGACCAGGGCUACACACGUGCUACAAUGGCAUAUACAAAGAGAAGCGACCUCGCGAGAGCAAGCGGACCUCAUAAAGUAUGUCGUAGUCCGGAUUGGAGUCUGCAACUCGACUCCAUGAAGUCGGAAUCGCUAGUAAUCGUAGAUCAGAAUGCUACGGUGAAUACGUUCCCGGGCCUUGUACACACCGCCCGUCACACCAUGGGAGUGGGUUGCAAAAGAAGUAGGUAGCUUAACCUUCGGGAGGGCGCUUACCACUUUGUGAUUCAUGACUGGGGUGAAGUC
This 1467-nucleotide ribosomal RNA is filed under the name uncultured organism. RNAcentral describes it as "SSU rRNA". It matches the Rfam family "Bacterial small subunit ribosomal RNA". The record is from RNAcentral.